RNAcentral lists this ribosomal RNA (404 nucleotides) under uncultured bacterium. Its description in RNAcentral is "bacterial SSU rRNA". It matches the Rfam family "Bacterial small subunit ribosomal RNA", at positions 355 to 775 of the family's 1533-position model. The record is from RNAcentral.
UAGGGAAUAUUGCACAAUGGGCGAAAGCCUGAUGCAGCAACGCCGCGUGCGCGAAGAAGGCCUUCGGGUCGUAAAGCGCUUUUCGGGGAGAUGAGGAAGGACAGUAUCCCCGGAAUAAGGCUCGGCUAACUACGUGCCAGCAGCCGCGGUAAAACGUAGGAGCCAAGCGUUAUCCGAAUUCACUGGGCGUAAAGCGCGUGCAGGCGGCCUGGUAAGUUGGAUGUGAAAUCUCCUGGCUCAACUGGGAGAGGCCGUUCAAUACUGUCAGGCUAGAGGGCGACAGAGGGAGGUGGAAUUCCGGGUGUAGUGGUGAAAUGCGUAGAUAUCCGGAGGAACACCAGAGGCGAAGGCGACCUCCUGGGUCGCACCUGACGCUCAGACGCGAAAGCUAGGGGAGCAAACGG